Solanum pennellii is the source of this 2151-nucleotide RNA transcript. It is a transcript of the gene named cyclin-L1-1-like, with no coding region annotated. The record is from RefSeq and is a predicted model, not a curated record. Lineage: Eukaryota; Viridiplantae; Streptophyta; Magnoliopsida; Solanales; Solanaceae. The transcript is spliced from 2 exons.
UUUUGUAUAACUGUAACUUCAGCGCCGAACUAGAGUUAUUUCUGGUGCUAUCGUUAAGGCUUAAAAUGGUGGAUGAACUAUGAAAAUGGUAGAUGAACUAUAUUUUGAAUCUCCGUGGUGGAAAUCCUGACUUCACCAAUAGAUGUGCCAAUCCAACUCAAAUGGUAGAUGAACUAUAAAGAUUUACUAUCCACUAUAGUCAAAGUGAAAAUGUGUAAACCAUAAAACAAAUUACAUGAAAGUCGAAAUCUAUAUUAGGCCGAACCGAACUAGAGAAGUAGUUCGAAAAAAGAAAUUAGUGCUUCCACAACGAUUUCUUCUUCUUCUUCUUUUCUCUCAAACAUCGUCAGUGAACCCCAUUUAUGGGGAAAUGUGGAGAUUCUUGAAGUUCAACCAUGACUUACUCGGCAAUAGACACAUUCUAUCUAGUGGAGAAGCAGCUUAUAAACUCGUCUUCUAGGAAAGAUGGAAUUGAUGAAGUUACUGAAACAGCACUUCGAAUCUAUGGUUGUGAUCUCAUCCAAGAAAGUGGGAUUUUGCUCAGAUUACCUCAAGCUGUAAUGGCCACUGGUCAAGUAUUAUUUGCCCAUUUUAAUGUGAAUAGUGUUGCAGCUAGUUGUGUUUGGCUUGCAUCAAAACUCAAAGAAGCCCGAGAAAAGCAACGCAGGUGUUUGUUGUUUUCCACAGAAUGGAAUAUAGGAGAGAAAACUUACCUAUAGAAUAUCUGGAUACAUCUUCGAAGAAAUAUAUUGAUUUGAAAGCAGACCUAAUCAGAACAGAGAGGCAUCUUUUAAAAGAGAUGGGUUUUAUCUGCCAUGUCGAGCAUCCUCAUAAAUUUAUAUCAAACUACCUUGCAACUCUUGAAACACCUGCAGAAUUGAGACAAGAAGCUUGGAACCUUGCAAAUGACAGUUUGCGCACAACACUCAGUGUAAGAUCAAGAGUGAGGUUGUGGCCUGUGGAGUUGUAUAUGCUGCAGCCCGUAGAUUUCAAGUGACCCUCCCAGAGAAUCCUCCUUGGUGAAGGCAUUUGAUGCGGCAUUUGAUGCAGACAAGGCUGAUAUUGGUGAUGUUUGCGGAGUUCUCGCUCAUCUUUACAGCCUUCCAAAGGCGCAAUGCAUUCCUGUGUGCGAGGAAGGAGGCCCCUUUGCUUCAUCAAACAGAUCAAGGUUUGUUGGAUGUUCCACCAAUGUAGUAAUAAAAGGUUUGUUGGAUGUUCCAACAGUGGAUGAAGAUACUGAGGAAGUUGCUAAGGAUGUAGUAAUAAAAGCUGCCCUCGAUAAGUUAAAAAGACUCAAAGAGCGAUGAUGACUCUAAAAGCAUGCCUUCAAAAGGGGAGUCAAAAGAAGACCCUGGAAGAGCUGACAAUAGAACAGAUGCCGCUGGAGGAAAGAAGAAGGAGAGAGAGAGAGAGGACAAGGAAAGACUAAAGUCCCGUGAAUGUGGUUGGGGAAGGAAAUCUGACAGGGAAAGGGAGCGAGGGACGGAGAAAAAUCCAAGGAAAGGAAUCAUCAUUCAAGAGACGAAGGUCACUCAGUGAAACCAAAACAUCACUCUUCUCGAGAUUGUGAUUACCAGUCUUAUCCAUCACAGGAGAAGGAUCUUCGUACACACCAUUAGCUUUGAGAGCGGCCUGGCAAAAUGUUACCAUGCCAAAUAUGUUUGUGGUUUUUCUGGAGCAUAGCUGCAGCUCUUUGCAUAUAUCUGAGAGUGCCUUCUUCGUGAAACAUUGGUUUUACCUCGCCUAUAUAUAUCAUCUAAGGUCUCCUGUAGUCGAGACAUUGGUUUUACCUAUUUGCUUUUACUUCCCCUGAACAAGUGACUUACCUUUGCUGUCCAAAUUGCUUGUAGACUAAAGCAAGAUUGUUAACUUUCUGCACUACAGUUAUAUACUUACGUGACUGGGAAAAAAAGCGUAUGCCAUAGUUUACUAAUAUACAUGUUACUUUAGCUUAUGACUUAACCAUGGUAUAGUUGUAUGAUUUUGUGUAAACGCGGGAUGCAGGUAAGAUUUUUUUGAUUAUUUUAGGUGGGAUGAAAGCGGAUUUUUCAUAGAGUGGGACUCCUCUUUGCACUACUUAUACCCUACCUAUGUUUCUUUUUUCUUAAACAUAUGCAUAUGAAAAUUUAAUAACCUCUGAACAUUUACAUU